AUUGAACGCUGGCGGCAUGCCUUACACAUGCAAGUCGAACGGCAGCAUAGGAGCUUGCUCCUGAUGGCGAGUGGCGAACGGGUGAGUAAUAUAUCGGAACGUGCCCUAGAGUGGGGGAUAACUAGUCGAAAGACUAGCUAAUACCGCAUACGAUCUACGGAUGAAAGUGGGGGAUCGCAAGACCUCAUGCUCCUGGAGCGGCCGAUAUCUGAUUAGCUAGUUGGUGGGGUAAAAGCCUACCAAGGCAACGAUGAGUAGCUGGUCUGAGAGGACGACCAGCCACACUGGGACUGAGACACGGCCCAGACUCCUACGGGAGGCAGCAGUGGGGAAUUUUGGACAAGGGGGGCAACCCUGAUCCAGCAAUGCCGCGUGAGUGAAGAAGGCCUUCGGGUUGUAAAGCUCUUUUGUCAGGGAAGAAACGGUAGUAGCGAAUAACUACUACUAAUGACGGUACCUGAAGAAUAAGCACCGGCUAACUACGUGCCAGCAGCCGCCGUAA
Molecule: ribosomal RNA, 502 nt
Filed under: uncultured bacterium
Lineage: Bacteria
Description: partial 16S ribosomal RNA
Rfam family: Bacterial small subunit ribosomal RNA
Source: RNAcentral